AAGUUCAAGAUCCAAAGUGCACCGACAAGGCGACAACACAACAGCAUCCAAAGUUCAGGAUCCAAAGUUCAAGAGGCAAGUGCGACAAGGAAACAUAAAUAAGUCUUGCUGGGGGCACAACACAACAAACCCCUACAUAAAACAAUAGCGCUAGUCAGGCUCCAGACGGGGCGGUGGAGUCCGGUGCUCGGCGAUGAUCCUACUGAUGCUGCCUCCAAUGCUGUAAGAAGCCACAAAUUUUGUAUGUCGCGUCAGCAAUCGCUGGAAGGUAUCAUACAAGGUAAACAUGCUUGGAAAUGCGCAAGAGUUUGAUUGUGAAUGUGGUCAAUUUCACACACGGGCUUGCUUUGCAGCCAUGUGCUUAAGGCACCAGUGGCAUUUUUAAGUUUGAUGUACCAAAAACUGCCAACCUGCACUUCAUUCUUCAUUACAGGUGCUUGACUUCAUCCGUGUGAAGGAAAUUCCAGCUAAGCAUAUACCGUAUAGUAAAACGGUGGACCAAAGAUGUUCGCGACAUUCUCUUGGCACACCUUUCCGUGCUGAUCUAGCCUUUCGACCUGUCAUUCCGGGCAUCUGCUUUUGAUGUGCUAUUUGCUCUCUUUUCAUAAGUGUAGCUUACAUGAUCAGUUUUGUACGUGCACUAUACUUCUGUGUUGUAUCUUUGUUUUUCAAGAAGCGGCAGCAUGCUCCUGUCAGUGUUAUUUUAUUGCUAUCCAUUAGCAUGUGCUAAGAGAAGUGAAAAGGGUGUAUAUGCAUGUACCAAUGCUAAGUAAUUUAGCUGCUUUCAUCAAUUCAGCAACAUUUGUGAGUGCAUGUGUUGCCCAGACCACAGAAAGCAAGUGAAAGAUGCCGCCACCUACCAGGCACCACCGAACUUUCUCUCAGGAGGCGCCACGAGGUGGCGCCCCAACCCCUAGUGUGGAUCAAUCAUGUUCUAAGCAAAUCUUCACAAAAAUGCCCACAUGUCAUGUAAGAUAGAACAUUUAUAUGAUUAUUAAUAUUAAUCGGGUAGUCCAUUGGGUGACCCAUGGGUAGGUCCUUGUGCCCAUACCCUACCCAUGACUAAACGGGUUACCCAUCGGAUUUUACCCAUGGGUCAAGUUGCAACCCAUACCCUACCCAUUAGGGUCGGGUGCCCAUGGGCAACGCUGCCCAUGGGUCAGAUUGCCGGGUCCCCAUACGAAAUGCUUAGAAUGAGGACAAGGUUCUGCACAAUAUACCGACGAGACAAUGACAAAGAAACAAGUGAACUACCUGCCUGGGGAGAUAUGAAGCAACCACGCAAACCUACUCGCUGCAAGUGUAGAGGAUCACUGGAGAAACAAAAGCCGGCUGAAUUGAGACUGGGUGCAGGGGCUUGAGUUUUACAAAAAUUAGUCGGCAC
RNAcentral lists this long non-coding RNA (1384 nucleotides) under Triticum aestivum (bread wheat). Its description in RNAcentral is "long non-coding RNA (TAES_LNC009649)". The record is from RNAcentral. Lineage: Eukaryota; Viridiplantae; Streptophyta; Magnoliopsida; Poales; Poaceae.